AUCUUCAGGGCGGGGCGAAAUUCCCCACUGGCGGUAAUCUUUCAUCGGAGAGCGCUUCAUUUACAAGCAAUGAGGUUCUUUAGAAAGAAGGCGAGUCCGCGACCUGCACUAUGCAGCCGAGCCGGUUAGAUUCCGGCACCAACAGUACAGUCUGGAUGGAAGAGGAU
This 167-nucleotide non-coding RNA is filed under the name bovine gut metagenome. RNAcentral's name for it is "FMN riboswitch (RFN element)". It matches the Rfam family "FMN riboswitch aptamer (RFN element)". Rfam says of the family: The RFN element is a highly conserved domain that is found frequently in the 5'-untranslated regions of prokaryotic mRNAs that encode for flavin mononucleotide (FMN) biosynthesis and transport proteins. This element is a metabolite-dependent riboswitch that directly binds FMN in the absence of proteins. The record is from RNAcentral.